RNAcentral lists this transfer RNA (52 nucleotides) under Drosophila kanekoi. RNAcentral describes it as "tRNA-Arg". Lineage: Eukaryota; Metazoa; Arthropoda; Insecta; Diptera; Drosophilidae. The record is from RNAcentral.
GAAUAUGAAGCGAUUUAUUGCAAUUAGUUUCGACCUAAUUUUAGGUAAUUUU